AUUGAACGCUGGCGGCAGGCCUAACACAUGCAAGUCGAGCGGAUGAAGGGAGCUUGCUCCUGGAUUCAGCGGCGGACGGGUGAGUAAUGCCUAGGAAUCUGCCUGGUAGUGGGGGAUAACGUCCGGAAACGGGCGCUAAUACCGCAUACGUCCUGAGGGAGAAAGUGGGGGAUCUUCGGACCUCACGCUAUCAGAUGAGCCUAGGUCGGAUUAGCUAGUUGGUGGGGUAAAGGCCUACCAAGGCGACGAUCCGUAACUGGUCUGAGAGGAUGAUCAGUCACACUGGAACUGAGACACGGUCCAGACUCCUACGGGAGGCAGCAGUGGGGAAUAUUGGACAAUGGGCGAAAGCCUGAUCCAGCCAUGCCGCGUGUGUGAAGAAGGUCUUCGGAUUGUAAAGCACUUUAAGUUGGGAGGAAGGGCAGUAAGUUAAUACCUUACUGUUUUGACGUUGCCAACAGAAUAAGCACCGGCUAACUUCGUG
This 484-nucleotide ribosomal RNA is filed under the name uncultured bacterium. RNAcentral's name for it is "partial 16S ribosomal RNA". It matches the Rfam family "Bacterial small subunit ribosomal RNA", at positions 30 to 507 of the family's 1533-position model. The record is from RNAcentral.